UGGCGGACGGGGGGGUAAUGUCUGGGAAACUGCCUGAUGGAGGGGGAUAACUACUGGAAACGGUAGCUAAUACCGCAUAACGUCGCAAGACCAAAGAGGGGGACCUUCGGGCCUCUUGCCAUCGGAUGUGCCCAGAUGGGAUUAGCUAGUAGGUGGGGUAACGGCUCACCUAGGCGACGAUCCCUAGCUGGUCUGAGAGGAUGACCAGCCACACUGGAACUGAGACACGGUCCAG
This 235-nucleotide ribosomal RNA is filed under the name uncultured bacterium. RNAcentral's name for it is "partial 16S ribosomal RNA". It matches the Rfam family "Bacterial small subunit ribosomal RNA", at positions 96 to 334 of the family's 1533-position model. The record is from RNAcentral.